CGGAGGUUGGCUGGAAAAGCUCUUGCACCCAUUAUUUCUACACUCCCAUCAGGCUCUUAGUUGCUCCUGGUCCAGUCUUUUACAAGAAGGUAGUGCAAAGGUUCCGAAUGUCCAUGCCCUACUUGCUGGGACAGACUUAAAAGUGGAAGUCAACAAAAGCUGCUUAGAUCUUACUCGAGAGAUUUGUUCACUCCUCUUUGUCAUUGCUUCGCCACGGCCAAAUAUGCUUCCAUCCUUGAAGCACUCUGGGCAAAUCAGCUGAGUCGAUCUAUCUUCUCUCAAAGCUUUAGAUUCUUUUGCAUCGAGCUCUAUGGUUGGUUUCAUUUUGAAGCACCAAGCUCUUGCCCUUCCAGCACUACAGAUAUGUUUACAAGCUUUUACAUGGACAAAUGGUGAAGCCAUGACAAAAGUUUCUUCCUUGUGGUGCUUUGUUUGUUCUAGCUAUAUUCGCAAAUAGUAUGGAACUCCAAUAAUUUGUUUCUAAGGGUCACUUUUCUACAAUUAUCCAAGGUAUAGCCCUUGAAUCAAAUGCUUUCAUCAGUGCUGAUUUGGUUGGUCACUAUCGUGACAUGUACAUAUAUCUUUGUGAUAUACAUCCCGCUCCUAGGCAGGUUCUGCUCUCACUUCCUUGCACCAAACAGC
This is a long non-coding RNA of Rosa chinensis, 642 nucleotides long. RefSeq lists it as uncharacterized. Lineage: Eukaryota; Viridiplantae; Streptophyta; Magnoliopsida; Rosales; Rosaceae. The transcript is spliced from 3 exons. The record is from RefSeq and is a predicted model, not a curated record.